UACGUAGGGGGCAAGCGUUGUCCGGAAUCAUUGGGCGUAAAGCGCGUGUAGGCGGCUCGGUAAGUCCGCUCUGAAAGUCCAGGGCUCAACCCUGGGAUGCGGGUGGAUACUGCCGGGCUCGAGUCCGGAAGAGGCGAGUGGAAUUCCCGGUGUAGCGGUGAAAUGCGCAGAUAUCGGGAGGAACACCAAUGGCGAAGGCAGCUCGCUGGGACGUGACUGACGCUGAGACGCGAAAGCGUGGGGGGCGAACAGG
Molecule: ribosomal RNA, 253 nt
Filed under: uncultured bacterium
Lineage: Bacteria
Description: partial 16S ribosomal RNA
Rfam family: Bacterial small subunit ribosomal RNA
Source: RNAcentral